Molecule: long non-coding RNA, 610 nt
Organism: Ornithorhynchus anatinus (platypus)
Lineage: Eukaryota; Metazoa; Chordata; Mammalia; Monotremata; Ornithorhynchidae
Exons: 2
Source: RefSeq, a predicted model, not a curated record
ACCGCGUCCCCGCCCACGGCGAGCUCGCGGUCUGCGGGGAACGGCGGUGUUUGGGAAGCGCUUACCGGGUGCUGAGGUGAACGACGAUAAUCGGAAUAACGGCGCCGUGGGUGUUGGGUCAUCCGGAAAACGGGGAUCGAGACCGAGCCCCGCGUGGGACGGGGGCCGCGUCCGACCCGACUCGCUCGUCUCCACCCCCGGCGCUUAACCCGGUGUCUGGAACAGUGGCGAGCGCUUAACGGAUGCCGCAGUUCUUCUCCUCCUUCUUCUUCUUCUUUGAUUUUUCGGGACGCCGCCCCGGCGCUGUGGACUGGAAGCCCGUCAGAGGACGGGGACCGUCUCCCUCCGUUACCGAUUGGUCCAUUCCAAGCGCUCAGUACGGUGCCCUGCACGUAGGAAGCGCUCAAUAAAUACUACGGAAUGAAAAUACAGAUAUCCCCACAGCCCGGCACGCCCAAGCGAGGAAAGCGGAGAGGAACUGAACUAAGUGACCCUUGAGAUAGCGGGCGUUUGUUGUUGCGUCUUUUGUUUUUCUGAAACGAUGUUUGCAUCCGCAGCUGAAAAUGGAAACUGUAAAGUUAUUAGCGACGAGUAAAUCUGAUAAAGUUAA